RNAcentral lists this ribosomal RNA (484 nucleotides) under uncultured bacterium. Its description in RNAcentral is "partial 16S ribosomal RNA". It matches the Rfam family "Bacterial small subunit ribosomal RNA", at positions 29 to 507 of the family's 1533-position model. The record is from RNAcentral.
AUUGAACGCUGGCGGAAUGCUUUACACAUGCAAGUCGAGCGGCAGCGCGGCCUUCGGGCUGGCGGCGAGCGGCGAACGGGUGAGUAAUGCAUCGGAACAUGCCCAGUCGUGGGGGAUAACACUUCGAAAGAAGUGCUAAUACCGCAUACGUCCUGAGGGGGAAAGCGGGGGAUCGCAAGACCUCGCGCGAUUGGAGUGGCCGAUGUCAGAUUAGCUAGUUGGCGGGGUAAAGGCCUACCAAGGCGACGAUCUGUAGCUGGUCUGAGAGGAUGAUCAGCCACACUGGGACUGAGACACGGCCCAGACUCCUACGGGAGGCAGCAGUGGGGAAUUUUGGACAAUGGGGGCAACCCUGAUCCAGCCAUUCCGCGUGAGUGAAGAAGGCCUUCGGGUUGUAAAGCUCUUUCGGCAGGAACGAAACGGUGGGCUCUAACAUAGUCCGCUAAUGACGGUACCUGAAGAAGAAGCACCGGCUAACUACGUG